AAUUUUAUUGGAUGUAAGACUUUUGAUUUAAUUACUUGAAUUAAAGUUGAAUAAUAAUUAUUUGAAUUUAUUCCACUGCGAUGCAUUGAUAUCGUGAUGAGAUGCCUUGCAUGCUUAUGGAGAGAGUUCUUCAUGAGUGUGUGGCGGUUGCCGCGACCCUCGAUUCACAAUCUCGGGUCGGGGGCGUGACAAUUAAUAUGGUAUCAGAGCAUAAGUGGAUAAAUUAUGACACAUAGAAUUUGACACAGUAUGAGUGUAGGUGGGUAAACAUUAGGAAUAUUGGGACGUUAAAGUAUGAGCAUCAUAAUAAUAAAAACAUCAAAAGUUCAGAGAGCAGUAGAAAAUAAGACUCAACAGAUUGAUGGUGAGCCGUGCUCCAGAUGUGGCAAAAAAUCAUGCAGAAAAUGAUUGCUAUUGGAGUACCGGUGCUUGUUUCAAAUAUAGUCAGAAGGAUCAUAAAAUUGCUAGCUGCCCGCUAAAUACUGAAAAUCAAGUUGGCCAAAGAACUCAUGAGGGACAACAUAAGGGUGGCGGACAGAUUUUUAAAAUCCAGGGAAGAGUUUAUGCGCUUACUCAACAGAAUCCACAGGCUUCCAAUACAAUGGUGACAGGUAUGAAAAAUUUCGAGGACAAAAU
RNAcentral lists this long non-coding RNA (636 nucleotides) under Elaeis guineensis (African oil palm). RNAcentral's name for it is "long non-coding RNA (EGUI_LNC004171)". Lineage: Eukaryota; Viridiplantae; Streptophyta; Magnoliopsida; Arecales; Arecaceae. The record is from RNAcentral.